This 1408-nucleotide ribosomal RNA is filed under the name metagenome. RNAcentral's name for it is "bacterial LSU rRNA". It matches the Rfam family "Bacterial large subunit ribosomal RNA", at positions 1140 to 2549 of the family's 2925-position model. The record is from RNAcentral.
CCUCACUAGUCGAGUCGUCCUGCGCGGAAGAUGUAACGGGGCUCAAACUGUGCACCGAAGCUGCGGAUAUCGAAAGAUAUGGUAGGGGAGCGUUCUGUAGGUCUGUGAAGGUGUCUUGUAAAGGAUGCUGGAGAUAUCAGAAGUGCGAAUGCUGACAUGAGUAGCGAUAAAGGGCGUGAAAAGCGCCCUCGCCGAAGGCCCAAGGUUUCCUACGCAACGUUCAUCGGCGUAGGGUGAGUCGGCUCCUAAGGCGAGGCAGAAAUGCGUAGUCGAUGGGAAACAGGUCAAUAUUCCUGUACCGAUUCUAGAUGCGAUGUGGGGACGGAGAAGGUUAGGUCAGCCGGGUGUUGGACGUCCCGGUUUAAGCGUGUAGGCGUGCCCCUUAGGCAAAUCCGGGGGGCUGAGCUGAGGCGUGAUGACGAGGAACCACGGUUCCGAAGUGAUUGAUACCGAGCUUCCAGGAAAAGCCACUAAGCUUCAGUCUAGAGUUGACCGUACCGCAAACCGACACAGGUGGGCAGGAUGAAAAUUCUAAGGCGCUUGAGAGAACUCAGGAGAAGGAACUCGGCAAAUUAACACCGUAACUUCGGGAGAAGGUGUGCCCCGGUAGCGUGUAGAGACUUGCUCUCGAAGCGCGAUGGGGUUGCAGUGAAAUGGUGGCUGCGACUGUUUAAUAAAAACACAGCACUCUGCAAACACGAAAGUGGACGUAUAGGGUGUGACGCCUGCCCGGUGCCGGAAGGUUAAGUGAUGGGGUGCAAGCUCUUGAUCGAAGCCCCGGUAAACGGCGGCCGUAACGAUAACGGUCCUAAGGUAGCGAAAUUCCUUGUCGGGUAAGUUCCGACCUGCACGAAUGGCGUAACGAUGGCCACACUGUCUCCUCCUGGGACUCAGCGAAGUUGAAAUGUUUGUGAAGAUGCAAUCUACCCGCGGCUAGACGGAAAGACCCCAUGAACCUUUACUGUAGCUUUGCAUUGGACUUUGAACCGGUUUGUGUAGGAUAGGUGGGAGACUGUGAAGCCGGGACGCUAGUUUCGGUGGAGUCAACCUUGAAAUACCACCCUGAUUUGUUUGAGGUUCUAACCUUGGUCCGUGAAUCCGGAUCGGGGACCGUGCAUGGUAGGCAGUUUGACUGGGGCGGUCUCCUCCCAAAAGGUAACGGAGGAGUACGAAGGUACGCUUAGGGCGGUCGGACAUCGCCCACAAAGUGCAAUGGCAAAAGCGUGCUUGACUGCGAGACCCACAAGUCGAGCAGGUACGAAAGUAGGUCAUAGUGAUCCGGUGGUUCUGUAUGGAAGGGCCAUCGCUCAACGGAUAAAAGGUACUCUGGGGAUAACAGGCUAAUUCCUCCCAAGAGUUCAUAUCGACGGGGGAGUUUGGCACCUCGAUGUCGGCUCAUCACAUCCUG